GAUAGCGGAAUCUACGAACUUGAA
This 24-nucleotide non-coding RNA is filed under the name Arabidopsis thaliana (thale cress). The record is from RNAcentral. Lineage: Eukaryota; Viridiplantae; Streptophyta; Magnoliopsida; Brassicales; Brassicaceae.